GCCAGGGAAGUAAAAGUCGUAACAAGGUCUCCGUUGGUGAACCAGCGGAGGGAUCAUUACCGAGUUAUACAACUCCCAAACCCACUGUGAACCUUACCUCAGUUGCCUCGGCGGGAACGCCCCGGCCGCCUGCCCCCGCGCCGGCGCCGGACCCAGGCGCCCGCCGCAGGGACCCCAAACUCUCUUGCAUUACGCCCAGCGGGCGGAAUUUCUUCUCUGAGUUGCACAAGCAAAAACAAAUGAAUCAAAACUUUCAACAACGGAUCUCUUGGUUCUGGCAUCGAUGAAGAACGCAGCGAAAUGCGAUAAGUAAUGUGAAUUGCAGAAUUCAGUGAAUCAUCGAAUCUUUGAACGCACAUUGCGCCCGCCAGCAUUCUGGCGGGCAUGCCUGUUCGAGCGUCAUUUCAACCCUCGAGCCCCCCCCGGGGGCCUCGGUGUUGGGGGACGGCACACCAGCCGCCCCCGAAAUGCAGUGGCGACCCCGCCGCAGCCUCCCCUGCGUAGUAGCACACACCUCGCACCGGAGCGCGGAGGCGGUCACGCCGUAAAACGCCCAACUUUCUUAGAGUUGACCUCGGAUCAGGUAGGAAUACCCGCUGAACUUAAGCAUAUCAAUAAGCGGA
RNAcentral lists this ribosomal RNA (623 nucleotides) under Purpureocillium lilacinum. RNAcentral describes it as "eukaryotic LSU rRNA". The stretch from base 249 to 402 matches the Rfam family "5.8S ribosomal RNA". The record is from RNAcentral. Lineage: Eukaryota; Fungi; Ascomycota; Sordariomycetes; Hypocreales; Ophiocordycipitaceae.